This 541-nucleotide ribosomal RNA is filed under the name uncultured bacterium. Its description in RNAcentral is "bacterial SSU rRNA". It matches the Rfam family "Bacterial small subunit ribosomal RNA", at positions 774 to 1311 of the family's 1533-position model. The record is from RNAcentral.
AGGUAAUAGAUACCCAGGUAGUCCACGCUGUAAACGAUCAAUACUAGGUGUGCGGGGACUGACCCCCUGCGUGCCGGAGUUAAACACAAUAAGUAUUGCACCUGGGGAGUACGAUCGCAAGGUUGAAACUCAAAGGAAUUGACGGGGGGCCCGCACAAGCGGUGGAUUAUGUGGUUUAAAUUCGAAGCAACGCGAAGAACCUUACCAGGGCUUGACAUCCUACUAAUGAAGCAGAGAUGCAUUAAGUGCCCUUCGGGGAAAGUAGAGACAGGUGGUGCAUGGUUGUCGUCAGCUCGUGUCGUGAGAUGUUGGGUUAAGUCCCGCAACGAGCGCAACCCCGUAUUGUUAGUUGCUACGCAAGAGCACUCUAGCGAGACUGCCGUUGACAAAACGGAGGAAGGUGGGGUACGACGUCAAAUCAUCAUGCCCCUUAUGUCCUGGGCCACACACGUAAUACAAUGGCGGUCAACAGAGGGAUGCUAAGCCGUGAGGUGGAGCGAACCCCUAAAAGGCCGUCUCAGUUCGGAUUGCAGGCUGCAAC